RNAcentral lists this ribosomal RNA (468 nucleotides) under uncultured bacterium. Its description in RNAcentral is "partial 16S ribosomal RNA". It matches the Rfam family "Bacterial small subunit ribosomal RNA", at positions 28 to 507 of the family's 1533-position model. The record is from RNAcentral.
GACGAACGCUGGCGGCGUGCUUAACACAUGCAAGUCGAACGGAAAGGCCCUGCUUUUGUGGGGUGCUCGAGUGGCGAACGGGUGAGUAACCCGUGAGUAACCUGCCCUUGACUUUGGGAUAACUUCAGGAAACUGGGGCUAAUACCCGAUCGGAGCUCCUGCUGCAUGGUGGGGGUUGGAACGUUUCGGCGGUUGGGGCUGGACUCGCGGCUUAUCAGCUUGUUGGUGGGGUAGUGGCUUACCAAGGCUUUGACGGGUAGCCGGCCUGAGAGGGUGACCGGCGACAUGGGGCCUGAGAGACGGCCCAGACUCCUACGGGAGGCAGCAGUGGGGAAUAUUGCACAAUGGGCGGAAGCCUGAUGCAGCAACGCCGGGUGCGGGAUGUCGGCCUUCGGGUUGUAAACCGCUUUCGCCUGUGACGAAGCGUGAGUGACGGUAAUGGGUAAAGAAGCACCGGCUAACUACGUG